GCACAAGCGGUGGAGCAUGUGGUUUAAUUCGAUGCAACGCGAAGAACCUUACCUGGGCUUGACAUCCCUGGAAUCCCCUGGAAACAGGGGAGUGCCCUUCGGGGAGCCAGGAGACAGGUGCUGCAUGGCUGUCGUCAGCUCGUGUCGUGAGAUGUUGGGUUAAGUCCCGCAACGAGCGCAACCCUUGUCAUUAGUUGCUACAUUCAGUUGGGCACUCUAAUGAGACUGCCGGUGACAAGCCGGAGGAAGGUGGGGAUGACGUCAAGUCCUCAUGGCCCUUAUAGGCGGGGCUACACACGUCAUACAAUGGCUGGUACAAAGGGUUGCCAACCCGCGAGGGGGAGCCAAUCCCAUAAAGCCAGUCGUAGUCCGGAUCGUAGUCUGCAACUCGACUACGUGAAGUCGGAAUCGCUAGUAAUCGUGGAUCAGAAUGUCACGGUGAAUACGUUCCCGGGUCUU
This 459-nucleotide ribosomal RNA is filed under the name uncultured Desulfuromonadales bacterium. Its description in RNAcentral is "bacterial SSU rRNA". It matches the Rfam family "Bacterial small subunit ribosomal RNA", at positions 923 to 1382 of the family's 1533-position model. The record is from RNAcentral. Lineage: Bacteria; Pseudomonadati; Thermodesulfobacteriota; Desulfuromonadia; Desulfuromonadales.